GCCUUCGUGGUGUAAUAGUCAGCACGCUCUACGCUUAUUCGAGAGGUCGGGGGUUCGAAUCCUGGCGAGGGCA
Molecule: transfer RNA, 73 nt
Filed under: Stegodyphus mimosarum
Lineage: Eukaryota; Metazoa; Arthropoda; Arachnida; Araneae; Eresidae
Rfam family: tRNA
About the family: Transfer RNA (tRNA) molecules are approximately 80 nucleotides in length. Their secondary structure includes four short double-helical elements and three loops (D, anti-codon, and T loops).
Source: Rfam by way of RNAcentral